UACGAAGGGUGCAAGCGUUACUCGGAAUUACUGGGCGUAAAGCGUGCGUAGGUGGUGAGUUAAGUCUGAUGUGAAAUCCCCGGGCUCAACCUGGGAAUGGCAUUGGAUACUGGCUCGCUGGAGUGCGGUAGAGGGUGGUGGAAUUCCCGGUGUAGCAGUGAAAUGCGUAGAGAUCGGGAGGAACAUCUGUGGCGAAGGCGGCCACCUGGACCAGCACUGACACUGAGGUGCGAAAGCUAGGGUAGCAAACGGG
RNAcentral lists this ribosomal RNA (253 nucleotides) under uncultured bacterium. RNAcentral describes it as "partial 16S ribosomal RNA". It matches the Rfam family "Bacterial small subunit ribosomal RNA", at positions 524 to 776 of the family's 1533-position model. The record is from RNAcentral.